RNAcentral lists this ribosomal RNA (468 nucleotides) under uncultured bacterium. RNAcentral describes it as "partial 16S ribosomal RNA". It matches the Rfam family "Bacterial small subunit ribosomal RNA", at positions 28 to 507 of the family's 1533-position model. The record is from RNAcentral.
GACGAACGCUGGCGGCGUGCUUAACACAUGCAAGUCGAACGGAAAGGCCCUGCUUGUGUGGGGUGCUCGAGUGGCGAACGGGUGAGUAACACGUGAGUAACCUGCCCUUGACUUUGGGAUAACUUCAGGAAACUGGGGCUAAUACCUGAUAGGAGCUCCUGCUGCAUGGUGGGGGUUGGAAAGUGUCGGCGGUUGGGGAUGGACUCGCGGCUUAUCAGCUUGUUGGUGGGGGAGUGGCUUACCAAGGCUUUGACGGGUAGCCGGCCUGAGAGGGUGACCGGCCACAUUGGGACUGCGAUACGGCCCAGACUCCUACGGGAGGCAGCAGUGGGGAAUAUUGCACAAUGGGCGGAAGCCUGAUGCAGCAACGCCGCGUGCGUGAUGACGGCCUUCGGGUUGUAAACCGCUUUCGCCUGUGACGAAGCGUGAGUGACGGUAAUGGGUAAAGAAGCACCGGCUAACUACGUG